Molecule: ribosomal RNA, 254 nt
Filed under: uncultured bacterium
Lineage: Bacteria
Description: partial 16S ribosomal RNA
Rfam family: Bacterial small subunit ribosomal RNA
Source: RNAcentral
UACGUAGGUGGCAAGCGUUGUCCGGAUUUACUGGGCGUAAAGAGCGCGCAGGCGGUCGAUCAAGUCGAGUGUGAAAGCCCCCGGCUCAACUGGGGAGGGUCAUUCGAUACUGAUCGACUCGAAGGCAGGAGAGGGUAGUGGAAUUCCCGGUGUAGUGGUGAAAUGCGUAGAUAUCGGGAGGAACACCAGUGGCGAAGGCGACUACCUGGCCUGUUUCUUGACGCUGAGGCGCGAAAGCUAGGGGAGCAAACGGG